ACAAAACAAGACUACAAAUCAGUGGCCUUCCAAAAAUGGACACGACUAGAAAUCAGUGGUUAAGUUGUAUUUACAACACUGUUCCAGAACAGUUCAAUCCAAAUAUUCAGAUGUGUCUAGCGCAUUUUAUGGAGGACUGUUUCCUGAUCCUGGUAGAGUAGACUACAAUGUUCUGACUCACAGACUGCAAGUACGUUUUUUAUGUACAAAGAAUUUUCCACUGACCAUUCAAACGCAAGUUUUGGGCAGUGUAGAGUAGCGCUUGUUGUUUGUCAUUUCUCCGAUCACAAAUGCAGGUUUAAUGCUUACGCAGCGCGAUGCAACGCGUAAAAAGACAGUAUAAGUCAUUUAUAAUCCGUAAUUAUGUCCCCACUGCAUGCAACAAAUGCCUCGUUUAUAAUGGGUUUUCAUGUUUUUGUCUCGUCGCUCCGGCUGGACACGGCAUCACAGUAUGGUAGGGGCGUAACAUUUCCGUCACACACUUGAGGUAUUCAGCCAAUCACAACACACUGGAUAGCUGACCAAUCAGAGCACACCUCGUUUUUCAGACCGAUGAGCUUUGUAAAAAUCCACACGUUUCAGAAAGGCAGGGCAUAGAGGAGAAACAAUAAUGUGGAAAAUAUUGUGUUUUUUGAACUUUAAACCGCAUAAACACAUUUCAUUACACUAAAUACGCAAAAUAAUGUUCAUUUUAGCAACAUCAUAUGACCCCUUUAAUAUAUUGGUUUGAUUGUCUUCUCAUCUGCUUGUGUAGUUUAUGCUGUCAUACAGUAGCUCCUCCGGAGAGAACAGGACACGCAUACACACCGUUAUUCUGUCCGCUUCCAGUCAACCGCUAGACACCUUUAGAAGCAGCCAGGCCGAGACGCUCCUCGCAUUCUACUGCAAGAAAUUGUAUUCAUUAGCACUGGAGAGUCCGCUGCAGUCCCUGCGUGAGGAGCUACAGACGGAGGUUACUGAGAUGUUGGCUUGCUUCCGGAAACAAAGCUGCACUACUUCUGUGUCCCCAGGACAGGUGCGUUCUUCAUAUAGUUCUCUCUUUUUAAUGAGGAUCUCUCGUAAGGUACUGGACCAGCACUGGACCCUUUUGAAUAUUCGGAUACUCUAGAGAUUUAUCAUACAGUUUCAGAUGAAGCAAUAAUUUAGAAAUAUUAAACCAUGAUUUGGUGAUACCAAUUAAAAAGUAAGGUCCCGCCGUUUUCAGUCCAAUUAAUUUUUAAUUGCUCAAAUAAAUAGACAUUGCCUUUUUUGUGCAAUGAGCCCUAGACAGUUAUUAGCAAGUUGUGUAAUUAGAGCUUAAUCAGAUAUUUUAGGCCCGUGAAGUCUUCUAGUAUUUAGGGGGAAAAAGUAUUUUUAGGAGAUGACAGACAGUCUGUUAUUCCACUCUCAAUUUAUUUUACGAUUCGUUAGCCUAUUAAUGAUGC
This 1424-nucleotide long non-coding RNA is filed under the name Sinocyclocheilus grahami. RNAcentral describes it as "lncRNA (ENSSGRG00000010672.1)". The record is from RNAcentral. Lineage: Eukaryota; Metazoa; Chordata; Actinopteri; Cypriniformes; Cyprinidae.